Molecule: ribosomal RNA, 434 nt
Filed under: uncultured bacterium
Lineage: Bacteria
Description: partial 16S ribosomal RNA
Rfam family: Bacterial small subunit ribosomal RNA
Source: RNAcentral
ACGAACGCUGGCGGCAGGCCUAACACAUGCAAGUCGAGCGGACAUCUUCGGAUGUUAGCGGCGGACGGGUGAGUAACGCGUGGGAACGUGCCCUUUGCUUCGGAAUAGCCUCGGGAAACUGGGAGUAAUACCGGAUGUACCCUUUGGGGGAAAGAUUUAUCGGCAAAGGAUCGGCCCGCGUUGGAUUAGGUAGUUGGUGGGGUAAUGGCCUACCAAGCCGACGAUCCAUAGCUGGUUUGAGAGGAUGAUCAGCCACACUGGGACUGAGACACGGCCCAGACUCCUACGGGAAGCAGCAGUGGGGAAUCUUAGACAAUGGGGGAAACCCUGAUCUAGCCAUGCCGCGUGAGCGAUGAAGGCCUUAGGGUUGUAAAGCUCUUUCACCGGGGAAGAUAAUGACGGUACCCGGAGAAGAAGCCCCGGCUAACUCCGUG